GCAAGAUUAAAACUCAAAGGAAUAGACGGGGACCCGCACAAGCGGUGGAGCAUGUGGUUUAUUUCGACGAUACGCGAAGAACCUUACCUGGCCUUGACAUAGAAAGAACUUUCCAGAGACGGAUUGGUGCUAGUUUACUAGAGCUUUCAUACAGGUGCUGCACGGCUGUCGUCAGCUCGUGUCGUGAGAUGUUGGGUUAAGUCCCGCAACGAGCGCAACCCUCGUGUUUAGUUACUAACAGUUCGGCUGAGGACUCUAAACAGACUGCCUGGGUAACCAGGAGGAAGGUGAGGACGACGUCAAGUCAUCAUGGCCCUUACGGCCAGGGCUACACACGUGCUACAAUGGGGUAUACAAAGAGCUGCAAUACGGUGACGUGGAGCAAAUCUCAUAAAAUAUCUCCCAGUUCGGAUUGAAGUCUGCAACUCGACUUCAUGAAGUUGGAAUCGCUAGUAAUCGUAGAUCAGCAAUGCUACGGUGAAUACGUUCCCGGGUCUUGUACUCACCGCCCGUCACACCAUGGGAAUUGAAUUCAUUCGAAGCGGGGAUGCUAAAAUAGCUACCUUCCACAGUGGAUUUAGUAACUAGGGUGAAGUCGUAACAAGGUA
This 608-nucleotide ribosomal RNA is filed under the name uncultured bacterium. Its description in RNAcentral is "bacterial SSU rRNA". It matches the Rfam family "Bacterial small subunit ribosomal RNA", at positions 888 to 1498 of the family's 1533-position model. The record is from RNAcentral.